RNAcentral lists this ribosomal RNA (22 nucleotides) under Stromatinia cepivora. RNAcentral describes it as "Sclerotium cepivorum partial 28S ribosomal RNA". RNAcentral also lists the same sequence under 3 other names. The record is from RNAcentral. Lineage: Eukaryota; Fungi; Ascomycota; Leotiomycetes; Helotiales; Sclerotiniaceae.
GACCUCGGAUCAGGUAGGGAUA